UGCAGAAUCCCGUGAACCAUCGAGUUUUUGAACGCAAGUUGCGCCCGAAGCCUUCCGGCUGAGGGCACGUCUGCCUGGGCGUCACGC
RNAcentral lists this ribosomal RNA (87 nucleotides) under Coreopsis tripteris. RNAcentral describes it as "partial 5.8S ribosomal RNA". It matches the Rfam family "5.8S ribosomal RNA", at positions 73 to 154 of the family's 154-position model. From Rfam's summary of the family: 5.8S ribosomal RNA (5.8S rRNA) is a component of the large subunit of the eukaryotic ribosome. It is transcribed by RNA polymerase I as part of the 45S precursor that also contains 18S and 28S rRNA. Functionally, it is thought that 5.8S rRNA may be involved in ribosome translocation. Lineage: Eukaryota; Viridiplantae; Streptophyta; Magnoliopsida; Asterales; Asteraceae. The record is from RNAcentral. RNAcentral also lists the same sequence under 5 other names.